GCACAGGAAAAAUGAUAUAUAUUAACAAAAAAUGGCAUGGCUUCAGAAUUGGAAGAAUUGGAAGACUCUUGCAAAAACCCACUUGAAUAGCAAGAUAGACAACGUUGGCAAGUGUAAUCAGUACAAAUCCUUCCGCUGAUCUACGAAAAACAAACUUUGCUAUUCAUCAGAUGCAACUUUAUUUGUGUUCAUGAGACUUAUAUUAUCUAUUAUUUAGGAAGAAGGUGCAACUUGUCU
This 237-nucleotide unclassified non-coding RNA is filed under the name Hevea brasiliensis (rubber tree). The record is from RNAcentral. Lineage: Eukaryota; Viridiplantae; Streptophyta; Magnoliopsida; Malpighiales; Euphorbiaceae.